UACGGAGGAUGCAAGCGUUAUCCGGAUUUAUUGGGUUUAAAGGGUGCGUAGGCUGUGCGUCAAGUCAGGGGUGAAAUGCCCGGGCUCAACCCGGGAGCUGCCUUUGAUACUGUCGCGCUGGAAUACUGUUGCCGUGGGAGGAAUGAGUAGUGUAGCGGUGAAAUGCAUAGAUAUUACUCAGAACACCGAUUGCGAAGGCAUCUCACGAAGCAGGCAUUGACGCUGAGGCACGAAAGCGUGGGGAUCAAAC
RNAcentral lists this ribosomal RNA (250 nucleotides) under uncultured prokaryote. Its description in RNAcentral is "partial 16S ribosomal RNA". It matches the Rfam family "Bacterial small subunit ribosomal RNA", at positions 524 to 773 of the family's 1533-position model. The record is from RNAcentral.